AACCUUUGCAAUGUGCGCAAGCACGACAAGGUUAAUCCGAGUGAUUCCUGCUAAAGGAAUCUUUUGUUAGUCUUAAAAUCACUAUUGAAUAAGGGGUGGGCAAGUUCUGGUGUCAGCCGCCGCGGUAAAACCAGCACCUCAAGUGGUCAGGAGGAUUAUUGGGCCUAAAGCAUCCGUAGCCUGCUCUGUAAGUUUCCGGUUAAAUCCAUUAGCUCAACUAAUGGCCUGCCGGAAAUACUGCAGAGCUAGGAAGUGGGAGAGGUAGACGGUACUCGGUAGGAAGGGGUAAAAUCCUUUGAUCUAUUGAUGACCACCUGUGGCGAAGGCGGUCUACCAGAACACGUUCGACGGUGAGGGAUGAAAGCUGGGGGAGCAAACCGG
Molecule: ribosomal RNA, 381 nt
Filed under: uncultured archaeon
Lineage: Archaea
Description: bacterial SSU rRNA
Rfam family: Archaeal small subunit ribosomal RNA
Source: RNAcentral